GACGAACGCUGGCGGCGUGCCUAAUACAUGCAAGUAGAACGCUGAAGCGAGGAGCUUGCUCUUCUUGGAUGAGUUGCGAACGUGUGAGUAACGCGUAGGGAACCUGCCUUGUAGCGGGGGAUAACUAUCGGAAACGAUAGCCAAUACCGCAUAACAAUGGAUGACACAUGUCAUUUAUUUGUACGGGGCAAUUGCUCCACUCCAAGUUGGACCUGCGUUGUAUUAGCUAGUAGGUGAGGUAACGGCUCACCUAGGCGACGAUACAUAGUCGACCUGGGAGGGUGGUCGGCCGCACUGGGACUGAGACACGGCCCAGGCUCCUACGGGAGGCAGCAGUAGGGAAUCUGCGGCAAUGGGGGCAACCCUGACCGAGCAACGCCGCGUGAGUGAAGAAGGUUUUCGGAUCGUAAAGCUCUGUUGUAAGUCAAGAACGAGUGUGAGAGUGGAAAGUUUACACUGUGACGGUAGCUGACCAGAAAGGGACGGCUAACUACGUG
RNAcentral lists this ribosomal RNA (497 nucleotides) under uncultured bacterium. Its description in RNAcentral is "partial 16S ribosomal RNA". It matches the Rfam family "Bacterial small subunit ribosomal RNA", at positions 28 to 507 of the family's 1533-position model. The record is from RNAcentral.